UGCAAUAUGAAUAAAUAGAGUAAUAUUUAUUCAUUUUCUCCGACUUUACUAAACCCGAUGGGAAAACCAACAAUAAUGGGUAUUGAGUAGCUAAGUUCUCUUCUACAAAAUAUGUUAAAUACAGUUUCUAUGACCUUGCAGCCUGUGCCCUCCAAAUCUUGAUCUUGGUCGUACGGGUGGAUGAAAGCAGCCAUCCUCUAUCUUGAACGUGGCAUUUUGUCCUUCGAGAAGGGACGGCUUCUUUCUU
This 247-nucleotide long non-coding RNA is filed under the name Olea europaea (common olive). RNAcentral's name for it is "long non-coding RNA (OEUR_LNC012035)". Lineage: Eukaryota; Viridiplantae; Streptophyta; Magnoliopsida; Lamiales; Oleaceae. The record is from RNAcentral.